UACGGGGGGAGCAAACGUUGUUCGGAAUCACUGGGCGUAAAGGGCUCGUAGGCGACCAACUAAGUCAGACGUGAAAUCCCCAGGCUCAACCUGGGAACUGCGUCUGAUACUGGAUGGCUUGAAUCCGGGAGAGGGAUGCAGAAUUCCAGGUGUAGCGGUGAAAUGCGUAGAUAUCUGGAGGAAUACCGGUGGCGAAGGCGGCGUUCUGGACUGCAACUGACACUGAGGAACGAAAGCCAGGGGAGCAAACGGG
RNAcentral lists this ribosomal RNA (253 nucleotides) under uncultured bacterium. RNAcentral describes it as "partial 16S ribosomal RNA". It matches the Rfam family "Bacterial small subunit ribosomal RNA", at positions 524 to 776 of the family's 1533-position model. The record is from RNAcentral.